UGGAAACGUAUGCUAAUACCGAAUAUGCUCUACGGAGUAAAGGUGCCCUCUCCUUGGAAGGUAUCGCUAUAGGAUGAGCCCGCGUGAGAUUAGUUAGUUGGUAAGGUAAUGGCUUACCAAGGCGACGAUCUCUAGCUGGUUUGAGAGGAUGAUCAGCCACACUGGGACUGAGACACGGCCCAGACUCCUACGGGAGGCAGCAGUGGGGAAUAUUGCACAAUGAGCGAAAGCUUGAUGCAGCCAUACCGCGUGUGUGAAGAAGGCCCGAGGGUUGUAAAGCACUUUCAAUUGUGAGGAAGAUAGUGUCGUUAAUAUCGGCAUUGUUUGACGUUAACUUUAGAAGAAGCACCGGCUAACUCUGUGCCAGCAGCCGCGGUAAUACAGAGGGUGCAAGCGUUAUUCGGAAUUACUGGGCGUAAAGCGCGCGUAGGCGGAUUAUUAAGUCAGUUGUGAAAGCCCUGGGCUCAACCUGGGAACUGCAUCUGAUACUGGUAGUCUAGAGUUUAAGAGAGGGAAGUGGAAUUCCAGGUGUAGCAGUGAAAUGCGUAGAUAUCUGGAGGAACAUCAGUGGCGAAGGCGACUUCCUGGCUUAAAACUGACGCUGAGGUGCGAAAGCGUGGGUAGCGAACGGGAUUAGAUACCCCGGUAGU
Molecule: ribosomal RNA, 650 nt
Filed under: Thiomicrospira sp. Tms-MPN/Milos-CII5
Lineage: Bacteria; Pseudomonadati; Pseudomonadota; Gammaproteobacteria; Thiotrichales; Piscirickettsiaceae
Description: bacterial SSU rRNA
Rfam family: Bacterial small subunit ribosomal RNA
Source: RNAcentral